RNAcentral lists this long non-coding RNA (337 nucleotides) under Amborella trichopoda. RNAcentral describes it as "long non-coding RNA (ATRI_LNC004921)". The record is from RNAcentral. Lineage: Eukaryota; Viridiplantae; Streptophyta; Magnoliopsida; Amborellales; Amborellaceae.
CCGAUGUUGCUGUUUUCAAAAUUGUCUCUCUUUUUCAAAAUGUCAAAUUAUGUGUCUUGUGAUUUCAAAUGCUUUGGUUUCUUUAUUAAAAAUAUAUGCCUAACACCUGGUUUUGUUUUCAAACCUCUUGUCUAUUUUCAAAAAAUUCUAAAACUAUUUUAUAUUCUCAAUAGAAGCCACAAGUCCUAGAACGUUAUCUAGAACAAAACUCAAAAAGACUCUAGAAUUAAGGGUGAAAGGUAAAUAUUUCCAUUGGUCAGUUUUUCAGAAUCAUUGUUAUCAUCAUCAUUUCUAAUACCGAUAUAUUUCCCAUUCAAUUGAAACCAAUACCCCAAAA